CAAACAGGGCAGCCGCCUCAGUGCUUUUUGUAGCUUCUCUGUCCAUAGCUGAGGAGAAGAUCCUGGCACAGACCCAGGCAAGGCAUAUGGUGCUCCCGGUCCCUGCUCUUAACCCACUGCUGGCUUCAGGUGAUCUUUGCAGCUCAUGCCGUCCUGGGACUUGGCUCUAGGCUAGUUUCCUAGGGCCAGAUGGCACCUUUCCAAAUCCUGAAGAUCUGGGGCCUCAGUGUGGUACAGGACCCCAGGUGCACGGGCAGGACAACAUGAAAUGCCAGCCCUGUCUGAGCUCUCCUGGGUCUGUCAGGCGGAGCGACAACCCUUCAUGGGGGAGUCGUGCUUUGCCCACAGGAAUUCCUGUCUGACAGAGGAGGUGGUCUCAGGAAGGUUGCAGUUCCUCUAAACCUCAGUUCCUCCUCUCUUCUGGAGGCUCGCUCCAGUACUCCAAGGAGGGGUCAGAGUAGGGAGCUUGCAGAACCUGGUGGCCUGGUUAUUUUAUUUGCUAGGUGAGAGGAUCGUAAGCCUGUCUCAGCUACCCUGAGCCUUGCGACUUAGGCCAGCUCCCUAAGUCUGUUUCCCUCUCCCACACCACCAAAACCUGACCUGUAUGAGUUGUACUUUUGGUUUUAUGUCCCGGCAUCUGGCAUAUGGAUGAAGAAAUGGGGACUACAUUACCGUCCCCAUCUAAGGGGAUGUAGCUGCCUCGUACCCGCUCGGGGACGGCUGGCUUGACUGAAAGGACCCUGCUGUCAUGAUGGCCCCAUUGCUGCUGAAGUCUAGAAACUCCACAGCUGGCUUCUCCUUGGCCCCACACUUCUUGCUUUUUGCAGGUCAAGGAGUCGGGCAUGGGGAGGGGGUGCGGGUUAGCCUGAGGAUACAAAAGGCUCCUUGGGCCUUUCCUCAGCCUCGUGUAUGGACAUUUUGGUUCAGGCCAGGCUCAGCUGCAGAAAUGGAAAUACGGAAAUAUGUGUACAAGUCACUCAUAGGGAGGAGGGGAGGAGGCUGGACCACUCAUAGGGAGGAGGUUGGACCACAUGCCUGCAAGUGGUUACAGGGUCUUACUGUAGCUCAUAUCAGCAUGAAAUUGUGGAAAUCUCUUGCCUCUGCUUCUGAGUGCAGGGACUACAUAUGGGUGUAUGUCGUCGUGCCUGGCUGUAAGACACCCUGUAGGAAAACCCCUCUCCCGGUGCCUGGCCCUCUACAGUGUUCACAAGGCUUUGCCUCUUCUUAAGUCGGGAGGCAGGAGAAGCUGGAGGCAGAAGAGCUGGGCCUGGCUAGGCUAGGGGGUCUCUGGUAUUUAUCAGACAUGGGGAUUGAUCUCUCUCGAGCCCUCGCCUUGACCCCCAACUAGGACAGUAUGGCCUCCGGGUCUCAUCCAGGAAGGGGAGCAGUCCCAAAUCAUCCUCCUCCAUCCCUU
This 1414-nucleotide long non-coding RNA is filed under the name Rattus norvegicus (Norway rat). RNAcentral describes it as "long non-coding RNA NONRATT023769". The record is from RNAcentral. Lineage: Eukaryota; Metazoa; Chordata; Mammalia; Rodentia; Muridae.